RNAcentral lists this ribosomal RNA (786 nucleotides) under uncultured beta proteobacterium. RNAcentral's name for it is "bacterial SSU rRNA". It matches the Rfam family "Bacterial small subunit ribosomal RNA", at positions 556 to 1342 of the family's 1533-position model. The record is from RNAcentral. Lineage: Bacteria; Pseudomonadati; Pseudomonadota; Betaproteobacteria.
GGGCGUAAAGGGCGCGUAGGCGGUGAUGUGAGUGUGAUGUGAAACCCCCGGGCUUAACCUGGGAAGUGCAUCGCAAACGACAUGACUGGAGUAGAUGAGAGGGUGGCGGAAUUUCCGGUGUAGCGGUGAAAUGCGUAGAGAUCGGAAGGAACGUCAAUGGCGAAGGCAGCCACCUGGCAUCAUACUGACGCUGAGGCGCGAAAGCGUGGGGAGCGAACAGGAUUAGAUACCCUGGUAGUCCACGCUGUAAACGAUGAGAACUAAAUGUUGGAGGGGGAGCCCUUCAGUAUUGAAGCUAACGCGAUAAGUUCUCCGCCUGGGAAGUACAGUCGCAAGACUGAAACUCAAAAGAAUUGACGGGGACCCGCACAAGCGGUGGAUGAUGUGGAUUAAUUCGAUGCAACGCGAAAAACCUUACCUACCCUUGACAUGUCAGGAAGUCUGCUGAGAGGUGGAUGUGCUCGAAAGAGAACCUGAACACAGGUGCUGCAUGGCUGUCGUCAGCUCGUGUCGUGAGAUGUUGGGUUAAGUCCCGCAACGAGCGCAACCCUUGUCAUUAAUUGCCAUCAUUCAGUUGGGCACUUUAAUGAGACUGCCGGUGACAAACCGGAGGAAGGUGGGGAUGACGUCAAGUCCUCAUGGCCCUUAUGGGUAGGGCUUUACACGUCAUACAAUGGUCGGUACAGAGGGUCGCCAACCCGCGAGGGGGAGCCAAUCCCACAAAGCCGAUCGUAGUCCGGAUCGCAGUCUGCAACUCGACUGCGUGAAGUCGGAAUCGCUAGUAAU